RNAcentral lists this ribosomal RNA (219 nucleotides) under uncultured bacterium. RNAcentral describes it as "partial 16S ribosomal RNA". It matches the Rfam family "Bacterial small subunit ribosomal RNA", at positions 57 to 305 of the family's 1533-position model. The record is from RNAcentral.
GCAAGUCGAGCGCUACCUUCGGGUGAGCGGCGGACGGGUUAGUAACGCGUGGGAAUAUACCCUCCUCUACGGAAUAGCCUCGGGAAACUGAGAGUAAUACCGUAUACGCCCUUUGGGGGAAAGAUUUAUCGGAGAAGGAUUAGCCCGCGUUAGAUUAGGUAGUUGGUGGGGUAAUGGCCUACCAAGCCUACGAUCUAUAGCUGGUUUGAGAGGAUGAUC